UACAGAGGUCCCAAGCGUUGUUCGGAUUCACUGGGCGUAAAGGGUGCGUAGGUGGUGAGGUAAGUCGGAUGUGAAAGCUCUGAGCUCAACUCCGAAAUGGCAUUGGAAACUACCUUGCUCGAGGGUUGGAGGGGGGACUGGAAUACUUGGUGUAGCAGUGAAAUGCGUAGAUAUCAAGUGGAACACCAGUGGCGAAGGCGAGUCCCUGGACAACUCCUGACACUGAGGCACGAAAGCUAGGGGAGCAAACGGG
Molecule: ribosomal RNA, 253 nt
Filed under: uncultured bacterium
Lineage: Bacteria
Description: partial 16S ribosomal RNA
Rfam family: Bacterial small subunit ribosomal RNA
Source: RNAcentral